Molecule: ribosomal RNA, 274 nt
Filed under: uncultured bacterium
Lineage: Bacteria
Description: partial 16S ribosomal RNA
Rfam family: Bacterial small subunit ribosomal RNA
Source: RNAcentral
AUACGGAGGGUGCGAGCGUUAAUCGGAAUUACUGGGCGUAAAGCGUCCGUAGGCGGUCAGAUAAGUCUGAUGUGAAAGCCCCGGGCUUAACCUGGGAACGGCAUUGGAUACUGUUUGACUAGAGUCCGGUAGAGGGUGGUGGGAUUCCCGGUGUAGCGGUGAAAUGCGUAGAUAUCGGGAGGAACACCUGUGGCGAAGGCGGCCACCUGGACCAAGACUGACGCUGAGGGACGAAAGCGUGGGGAGCAAACAGGAUUAGAAACCCUAGUAGUCC